GACGAACGCUGGCGGCGUGCUUAACACAUGCAAGUCGAACGGAAAGGCCCUGCUUUUGUGGGGUGCUCGAGUGGCGAACGGGUGCGUAACACGUGAGUAACCUGCCCUUGACUUUGGGAUAACUUCAGGAAACUGGGGCUAAUACCGGAUAGGAGCUCCUGCUGCAGGGUGGGGGUUGGAAAGUUUCGGCGGUUGGGGAUGGACGGGCGGCUUACCAGCUUGUUGGUGGGGGAGUGGCUUACCAAGGCAUUGACGGGUAGCCGGCAUGGGAGGGUGACCGGCCACAUGGGGACUGCGAGACGGACCAGACUCCUACGGGAGGCAGCAGUGGGGAAUAUUGCACAAUGGGCGGGAGCCUGAUGCAGCAACGCCGCGUGCGGGAUGACGGCCUUCGGGUUGUGAACCGCUUUCGCCUGUGACGAAGCGUGAGUGACGGUAAUGGGUAAAGAAGCACCGGCUAACUACGUG
RNAcentral lists this ribosomal RNA (468 nucleotides) under uncultured bacterium. RNAcentral's name for it is "partial 16S ribosomal RNA". It matches the Rfam family "Bacterial small subunit ribosomal RNA", at positions 28 to 507 of the family's 1533-position model. The record is from RNAcentral.